GUAGGGAAUAUUGGGCAAUGGAGGCAACUCUGACCCAGCCAUGCCGCGUGCAGGAUGACGGCCCUCUGGGUUGUAAACUGCUUUUAUACGGGAAGAAAAAAUACUACGUGUAGUAUACUGACGGUACCGUAAGAAUAAGGAUCGGCUAACUCCGUGCCAGCAGCCGCGGUAAUACGGAGGAUCCAAGCGUCGUCCGGAUUUAUUGGGUUUAAAGGGUGCGUAGGCGGAUCUUUAAGUCAGUGGUGAAAGCCUGCAGCUUAACUGUAGAAGUGCCAUUGGAACUGAAGAUCUUGAAUGUGGUUAAAGUAGGCGGAAUGUAUCAUGUAGCGGUGAAAUGCUUAGAUAUGAUACAGAACACCGAUAGCGAAGGCAGCUUGCUGAACCAUUAUUGACGCUGAGGCACGAAAGCGUGGGGAGCGAACAGGAUUAGAAACCCGGGUAGUCC
RNAcentral lists this ribosomal RNA (445 nucleotides) under uncultured bacterium. RNAcentral describes it as "partial 16S ribosomal RNA". It matches the Rfam family "Bacterial small subunit ribosomal RNA", at positions 354 to 796 of the family's 1533-position model. The record is from RNAcentral.